Non-coding RNA from Letharia columbiana, 128 nucleotides. The record is from the annotation of a RefSeq genome assembly. NCBI's taxonomy places the organism in Eukaryota, Fungi, Ascomycota, Lecanoromycetes, Lecanorales, Parmeliaceae.
GGCCUGCUUGCGCAAUGGUAGCGCGUUUGUUUACAACGCAAAACGUACGAUUCCGUGACUCACAUACCAGUGCAGCUCAGAUACUAAGGUUUCAAUCCAGGUUGUAGGUGCGAAUCCUGCGUAGGUCG